RNAcentral lists this ribosomal RNA (497 nucleotides) under uncultured bacterium. Its description in RNAcentral is "partial 16S ribosomal RNA". It matches the Rfam family "Bacterial small subunit ribosomal RNA", at positions 28 to 507 of the family's 1533-position model. The record is from RNAcentral.
GACGAACGCUGGCGGCGUGCCUAAUACAUGCAAGUUGAGCGCUGAAGGUUGGUACUUGUACCAACUGGAUGAGCAGCGAACGGGUGAGUAACGCGUGGGGAAUCUGCCUUUGAGCGGGGGACAACAUUUGGAAACGAAUGCUAAUACCGCAUAAAAACUUUAAACACAAGUUUUAAGUUUGAAAGAUGCAAUUGCAUCACUCAAAGAUGAUCCCGCGUUGUAUUAGCUAGUUGGUGAGGUAAAGGCUCACCAAGGCGAUGAUACAUAGCCGACCUGAGAGGGUGAUCGGCCACAUUGGGACUGAGACACGGCCCAAACUCCUACGGGGGGCAGCAGUAGGGAAUCUUCGGCAAUGGACGAAAGUCUGACCGAGCAACGCCGCGUGAGUGAAGAAGGUUUUCGGAUCGUAAUACUCUGUUGGUAGAGAAGAACGUUGGUGAGAGUGGAAAGCUCAUCAAGUGACGGUAACUACCCAGAAAGGGACGGCUAACUACGUG